RNAcentral lists this transfer RNA (73 nucleotides) under Gymnodraco acuticeps. RNAcentral's name for it is "tRNA-Leu". It matches the Rfam family "tRNA". From Rfam's summary of the family: Transfer RNA (tRNA) molecules are approximately 80 nucleotides in length. Their secondary structure includes four short double-helical elements and three loops (D, anti-codon, and T loops). Lineage: Eukaryota; Metazoa; Chordata; Actinopteri; Perciformes; Bathydraconidae. The record is from RNAcentral.
GCUUGUGAAGGAUAACAGCGUAUCCGUUGGUCUUAGGAACCAAAAACUCUUGGUGCAAAUCCAAGUAGAAGCU